Molecule: ribosomal RNA, 483 nt
Filed under: uncultured bacterium
Lineage: Bacteria
Description: partial 16S ribosomal RNA
Rfam family: Bacterial small subunit ribosomal RNA
Source: RNAcentral
UUGAACGCUGGCGGCAGGCCUCACACAUGCAAGUCGAGCGGAUGAAGGGAGCUUGCUCCUGGAUUCAGCGGCGGACGGGUGAGUAAUGCCUAGGAAUCUGCCUGGUAGUGGGGGAUAACGUCCGGAAACGGGCGCUAAUACCUCAUACGUCCUGAGGGAGAAAGUGGGGGAUCUUCGGACCUCACGCUAUCAGAUGAGCCUAGGUCGGAUUAGCUAGUUGGUGGGGUAAAGGCCUACCAAGGCGACGAUCCGUAACUGGUCUGAGAGGAUGAUCAGUCACACUGGAACUGAGACACGGUCCAGACUCCUACGGGAGGCAGCAGUGGGGAAUAUUGGACAAUGGGCGAAAGCCUGAUCCAGCCAUGCCGCGUGUGUGAAGAAGGUCUUCGGAUUGUAAAGCACUUUAAGUUGGGAGGAAGGGCAGUAAGUUAAUACCUUGCUGUUUUGACGUUACCAACAGAAUAAGCACCGGCUAACUUCGUG